RNAcentral lists this ribosomal RNA (500 nucleotides) under uncultured Myrionecta. RNAcentral's name for it is "bacterial SSU rRNA". It matches the Rfam family "Eukaryotic small subunit ribosomal RNA", at positions 1209 to 1794 of the family's 1831-position model. The record is from RNAcentral. Lineage: Eukaryota; Ciliophora; Litostomatea; Cyclotrichida; Mesodiniidae.
GAAAACUUACCAGGUCAAGACAUGGGCGUGAUUGACAGGCUAAUGACUUUUCUCGAUUCCAUGGAUGGUGGUGCAUGGUCGCACUUAGUUGGUGCAGUGAUUUGUCAGGUUUAUUCCGGUAACGAACGAGACCUCGGCCUUGUAAAUAGCUAUGCUGCUUACAGGGACAUUGGCGGCUACGCCAAGGAAGCUCGAGGCAAUUGCAGAUCUGGAAUGCCCUUAGAUGUCCUGGGUCGCACGCGUGCUACAAUGACGCCACGAACGAGCUUGCGUGAUGAAAGUUACGCAUAAUCAGCAGUCGGCGUCUUAAGGGAUAGUCUCUUGUAACUGUGGGACUCCAACUAGGAAUGUCUCGUAAGCACAAGUCAACAUCUUGUGUUGAUUACGUCCCUGCUCUUUGUACACACCGCCCGUCGCUCCUACCGAUCGAGUGUUUAGGUGAAUUUGAUGGACGUAAGGAAGUCAAAUAAACCUGAGCACUAGAGAAGAGAAGUCGAUAG